This 107-nucleotide small nucleolar RNA is filed under the name Theobroma cacao (cacao). RNAcentral describes it as "Plant small nucleolar RNA R71". It matches the Rfam family "Plant small nucleolar RNA R71". Rfam says of the family: R71 is a member of the C/D box family of snoRNAs containing the C (UGAUGA) and D (CUGA) box motifs. Multiple nearly identical copies of this snoRNA have been identified in Arabidopsis, and it is thought to function as a 2'-O-ribose methylation guide for 18S ribosomal RNA. The record is from Rfam by way of RNAcentral. Lineage: Eukaryota; Viridiplantae; Streptophyta; Magnoliopsida; Malvales; Malvaceae.
AAUCCAUGGUGAGGACAUCUUCUCAUCCAAUCCUUAUACUUUUCCCAAGCCUCAUAUAGUGAUUCAGAAUCAAAUUGCAUGAAAGAAGUAAUAUUAUUCCGCAUUUU